This 516-nucleotide unclassified non-coding RNA is filed under the name uncultured Glomus. RNAcentral describes it as "SSU rRNA". It matches the Rfam family "Eukaryotic small subunit ribosomal RNA", at positions 569 to 1087 of the family's 1831-position model. The record is from RNAcentral. Lineage: Eukaryota; Fungi; Glomeromycota; Glomeromycetes; Glomerales; Glomeraceae.
AGCAGCCGCGGUAAUUCCAGCUCCAAUAGCGUAUAUUAAAGUUGUUGCAGUUAAAAAGCUCGUAGUUGAAUUUCGGGAUCAAUAUUUCGGUCAUGCCGUUGGUAUGCACUGUUAUCAUUGAUUUCUCACCUUCUAAAGAACCGUAAUGCCAUUAAUUUGGUGUUACGGGGAAUUAGGACUGUUACCUUGAAAAAUUAGAGUGUUUAAAGCAGGCUCACGCUUGAAUACAUUAGCAUGGAAUAAUGAAAUAGGACAUCCGAUUCUAUUUUGUUGGUUUCUAGGAUCGAUGUAAUGAUUAAUAGGGAUAGUUGGGGGCAUUAGUAUUCAAUUGUCAGAGGUGAAAUUCUUGGAUUUAUUGAAGACUAACUACUGCGAAAGCAUUUGCCAAGGAUGUUUUCAUUAAUCAAGAACGAAAGUUAGGGGAUCGAAGACGAUCAGAUACCGUCGUAGUCUUAACCAUAAACUAUGCCGACUAGGGAUCGGAUGAUGUUAAUUUUUAAUGACUCAUUCGGACCG